RNAcentral lists this ribosomal RNA (1351 nucleotides) under Mycobacterium sp. DWMJ-1749B3. Its description in RNAcentral is "bacterial SSU rRNA". It matches the Rfam family "Bacterial small subunit ribosomal RNA", at positions 83 to 1428 of the family's 1533-position model. The record is from RNAcentral. Lineage: Bacteria; Bacillati; Actinomycetota; Actinomycetes; Mycobacteriales; Mycobacteriaceae.
CGGGGUACACGAGUGGCGAACGGGUGAGUAACACGUGGGUAAUCUGCCCUGCAGNCAUUGGGAUAAGCCUGGGAAACUGGGUCUAAUACCGAAUAGGACCACAGAACUCAUGUCCUGUGGUGGAAAGCUUUUGCGGUGUGGGAUGGGCCCGCGGCCUAUCAGCUUGUUGGUGGGGUGAUGGCCCACCAAGGCGACGACGGGUAGCCGGCCUGAGAGGGUGUCCGGCCACACUGGGACUGAGAUACGGCCCAGACUCCUACGGGAGGCAGCAGUGGGGAAUAUUGCACAAUGGGCGAAAGCCUGAUGCAGCGACGCCGCGUGGGGGAUGACGGCCUUCGGGUUGUAAACCUCUUUCACCAUCGACGAAGGUUCGGGUUUUCUCGGAUUGACGGUAGGUGGAGAAGAAGCACCGGCCAACUACGUGCCAGCAGCCGCGGUAAUACGUAGGGUGCGAGCGUUGUCCGGAAUUACUGGGCGUAAAGAGCUCGUAGGUGGUUUGUCGCGUUGUUCGUGAAAUCUCACGGCUUAACUGUGAGCGUGCGGGCGAUACGGGCAGACUUGAGUACUGCAGGGGAGACUGGAAUUCCUGGUGUAGCGGUGGAAUGCGCAGAUAUCAGGAGGAACACCGGUGGCGAAGGCGGGUCUCUGGGCAGUAACUGACGCUGAGGAGCGAAAGCGUGGGGAGCGAACAGGAUUAGAUACCCUGGUAGUCCACGCCGUAAACGGUGGGUACUAGGUGUGGGUUUCCUUCCUUGGGAUCCGUGCCGUAGCUAACGCAUUAAGUACCCCGCCUGGGGAGUACGGCCGCAAGGCUAAAACUCAAAGAAAUUGACGGGGGCCCGCACAAGCGGCGGAGCAUGUGGAUUAAUUCGAUGCAACGCGAAGAACCUUACCUGGGUUUGACAUGCACAGGACGCCGGCAGAGAUGUCGGUUCCCUUGUGGCCUGUGUGCAGGUGGUGCAUGGCUGUCGUCAGCUCGUGUCGUGAGAUGUUGGGUUAAGUCCCGCAACGAGCGCAACCCUUGUCUCAUGUUGCCAGCGGGUAAUGCCGGGGACUCGUGAGAGACUGCCGGGGUCAACUCGGAGGAAGGUGGGGAUGACGUCAAGUCAUCAUGCCCCUUAUGUCCAGGGCUUCACACAUGCUACAAUGGCCGGUACAAAGGGCUGCGAUGCCGCGAGGUUAAGCGAAUCCUUUUAAAGCCGGUCUCAGUUCGGAUCGGGGUCUGCAACUCGACCCCGUGAAGUCGGAGUCGCUAGUAAUCGCAGAUCAGCAACGCUGCGGUGAAUACGUUCCCGGGCCUUGUACACACCGCNUCCCGUCACGUACAUGAAAGUCGGUAACACCCGAAGCC